GAUGAACGCUGGCGGCGUGCUUAACACAUGCAAGUCGAACGAUGAAGCCCAGCUUGCUGGGUGGAUUAGUGGCGAACGGGUGAGUAACACGUGAGUAACCUGCCCUUAACUCUGGGAUAAGCCUGGGAAACUGGGUCUAAUACCGGAUAGGAGCGUCCACCGCAUGGUGGGUGUUGGAAAGAUUUAUCGGUUUUGGAUGGACUCGCGGCCUAUCAGCUUGUUGGUGAGGUAAUGGCUCACCAAGGCGACGACGGGUAGCCGGCCUGAGAGGGUGACCGGCCACACUGGGACUGAGACACGGCCCAGACUCCUACGGGAGGCAGCAGUGGGGAAUAUUGCACAAUGGGCGCAAGCCUGAUGCAGCGACGCCGCGUGAGGGAUGACGACCUUCGGGUUGUAAACCUCUUUCAGUAGGGAAGAAGCGAAAGUGACGGUACCUGCAGAAGAAGCACCGGCUAACUACGUG
Molecule: ribosomal RNA, 466 nt
Filed under: uncultured bacterium
Lineage: Bacteria
Description: partial 16S ribosomal RNA
Rfam family: Bacterial small subunit ribosomal RNA
Source: RNAcentral